Molecule: ribosomal RNA, 204 nt
Filed under: Escherichia coli
Lineage: Bacteria; Pseudomonadati; Pseudomonadota; Gammaproteobacteria; Enterobacterales; Enterobacteriaceae
Description: partial 16S ribosomal RNA
Rfam family: Bacterial small subunit ribosomal RNA
Source: RNAcentral
AAACGGUAGCUAAUACCGCAUAACGUCGCAAGACCAAAGAGGGGGACCUUCGGGCCUCUUGCCAUCGGAUGUGCCCAGAUGGGAUUAGCUUGUUGGUGGGGUAACGGCUCACCAAGGCGACGAUCCCUAGCUGGUCUGAGAGGAUGACCAGCCACACUGGAACUGAGACACGGUCCAGACUCCUACGGGAGGCAGCAGUGGGGA